GUAAUUAUUGGCCCUACGGAAAAGAAUGAUUUAUUUACAGUGGCUCAUGUGCAAUUUCUUUACUAUCAAUGCAAAAAAAAAUCACCACUUAAUAACUACCACUGCGACAUUCAUUGAAGAUAAUGCACACAUGGUGGUAAACAGACUGAUUUUGUAUUCUUCGGGGUUUUUCCCCCUGAAUAAGAGAAAUUUUUCCCUUCCCUAGAUUCUUAAAUGUAUAUGCUGAUAGGAUUUAGAUUAUCUCCUAAUUGCGUUCUUUUGUUUAUUUGAUAGAUUGUAUUCCUCAACAAUUGAAGGUUACGAAGCUAGAAUAGAAACUCCCAGGGGGUUGAUACAUGUACAUUUGCUUGUGAAAGUUAAAAAUAACAUAUUGAAUAGUUGUGCCUUAUAAUUUUCUUUGCCUUUCUACUCUUGAAUGAUGAGUUGUACUGGGGCAAUUUCUUUUCUAGCCCGUUCUUCCUUUUUUUUCCCGGCUCUCUUAGCUCUUCAAAGAGCCUAUUACUUUGGUUAUUAUCAUAGUAUGGUUAGGUUACACAAUUUGUUUCACCAAUUUAAUGGGUAGAUUUUACAAACUUACUUUUCUUCUUUGCAUUUUAAUCUUGAUAACACCUCAUUAAUGUUUCAAAAACUAGAAAAUCAAUUUUUUAGCAAAUGUUUUUACAUUUUGAGCAUUAUCAUUUAAUUACAUGGCUUUGUUCUAGAAGUGUUUGUGUGAGCAAGUUGGGUAAAGCAGAGCUGACGAUUGAACGAUGUGGUUCAUUGCCUAUAAUAGCAGUCUAUUCUGCCCAUAGUAAUUGUAAGACAAAACAGCCAAGUUUGAUCUAAUAAUUGUCAGUUUAUACUUUUAUGGGUUUUUUUAAUAUUAUUGACAAUAUCUUACUUGAGCUUUUAUUUCGUAUGUGAAUUUACCAAAUCAGAUCUUUAAAACCCUUUUUUCUAUGGUUAGUCAUUAUUGGUGAAGUCAUUUUUUCAGUGUAUGUAAUAUAUGGUUCUUGGUAUCUCAACGUUAUAGUAUACAAAUGUGAAAACAUUUUGAAAAAAUGGAAGGAAUAUCUACUGAAAGGAGAAAAAAUUUUAACUUUUCAGGUUGUGAAUUUUUUUUGAUUUAUUUCCAUGUCAUUUUUCCAAUUUUACACUAGAUUGGACCUUCAAGUUUCUGCUUCCUUUUCAUUUCUGAAGUUUUUAAUUUCUUGCUUGCUUCUUUAGUUUUGCUGCUCCUCAUAAUCUUAGAUUGCUGCCUAUUUGAUAGAUUGAGGAAAAUCACAAGGAAAUACUAAAGGGAGGAGAAAAAGAGUAGCUUUUCAGCAUGGGACUACUCCAAAUGAUAGUUGUGAGAUUGACUUGCAUGAUGUGAAGGAUUUUACCAGUCAUCUAUGCCCCUUACUAUUGCACGAUAUGAGAGUUAAAGCAAAGGAGCUGGGGCUGUUAGCUGAGUCAUAUUUGGAGGGAAUGCAAUCAAUAUACAAAUUGAUUGGCCAAGUGCAGCAUUUAUGGUCCAUUGGGUUUACAAGUUCUUGAUGGCAUCCCUGCAGAGAUGCGAGAUUUGUUGGAAGCGUAUGUGUUAGCAGUUGCUUAUUCUCAUUUUGUUUCUAUUUAAGAGAUUAUGACCUCUUCCAAUGUACCCAAAAAAGAAAAAGAAAAAGAAAAAAUGAGGUUUCUUUAUGAUGUAUAUCCUUGAUAUUUUUUGGAGGA
Molecule: long non-coding RNA, 1692 nt
Organism: Coffea arabica (coffee)
Lineage: Eukaryota; Viridiplantae; Streptophyta; Magnoliopsida; Gentianales; Rubiaceae
Source: RefSeq, a predicted model, not a curated record